This is a small nuclear RNA of Mustela putorius furo (domestic ferret), 172 nucleotides long. Its record names the gene U2. It matches the Rfam family "U2 spliceosomal RNA". Rfam says of the family: U2 is a small nuclear RNA (snRNA) component of the spliceosome (involved in pre-mRNA splicing). Complementary binding between U2 snRNA (in an area lying towards the 5' end but 3' to hairpin I) and the branchpoint sequence (BPS) of the intron results the bulging out of an unpaired adenosine, on the BPS, which initiates a nucleophilic attack at the intronic 5' splice site, thus starting the first of two transesterification reactions that mediate splicing. NCBI's taxonomy places the organism in Eukaryota, Metazoa, Chordata, Mammalia, Carnivora, Mustelidae. The record is from Ensembl.
CUUGCUUGCCAGCCUUUUGGCUGAGAUCAAGUGUAGUAUCAGUUCUGAUCAAUAUAAUAUCUGAAGACAAUAUAUUAAAUGCAUUUUUGGAGCAGGGAGAUGGACUAGGAGCUUCCUCUAUCCACUGCGUGCAUUGACCUGGCAUGGCAGUAGCAGGAACCGUGCACCCUCC